RNAcentral lists this RNase P RNA (392 nucleotides) under Beijerinckiaceae bacterium. RNAcentral describes it as "RNase P RNA component class A". It matches the Rfam family "Bacterial RNase P class A". From Rfam's summary of the family: Ribonuclease P (RNase P) is a ubiquitous endoribonuclease, found in archaea, bacteria and eukarya as well as chloroplasts and mitochondria. Its best characterised activity is the generation of mature 5'-ends of tRNAs by cleaving the 5'-leader elements of precursor-tRNAs. Lineage: Bacteria; Pseudomonadati; Pseudomonadota; Alphaproteobacteria; Hyphomicrobiales; Beijerinckiaceae. The record is from RNAcentral.
CCAGUCGGCCGGACGGCCGCUGCCGAAAGGGAGAGGAAAGUCCGGGCUCCACGGAGAAACGGUGCCGGAUAACGUCCGGCGGGGGUGACCCCAGGGAAAGCGCCACAGAGAUUGAACCGCCCGCUGCAGGGAGACUUGCCGCAGGUAAGGGUGAAAAGGUGCGGUAAGAGCGCACCGCGUCGCCGGCAACGGGGACGGCAUGGCAAGCCCCACCGGGAGCAAGACCGAAUAGGGACGACGAGGAGCCGCAAGGCUUCGGGUCCGCUCCGGAUCGUCGUCCGGGUUGGUUGCUUGAGGCGUUCGGUAACGAUCGUCCCAGAGGAAUGGCCGUCACGUCGCGUCGCGCAAGCGGCGCGGCCCUACAGAACCCGGCUUACAGGCCGACUGGCGCA